UAGGGAAUCUUCCGCAAUGGGCGAAAGACUGACGGAGCAACGCCGCGUGAGUGAUGAAGGUCUUCGGAUCGUAAAACUCUGUUAUUAGGGAAGAACAAAUGUGUAAGUAACUAUGCACGUCUUGACGGUACCUAAUCAGAAAGCCACGGCUAACUACGUGCCAGCAGCCGCGGUAAUACGUAGGUGGCAAGCGUUAUCCGGAAUUAUUGGGCGUAAAGCGCGCGUAGGCGGUUUUUUGAGUCUGAUGUGAAAGCCCACGGCUCAACCGUGGAGGGUCAUUGGAAACUCGAUAUCUUGAGUGCAGAAGAGGAAAGUGGAAUUCCAUGUGUAGCGGUGAAAUGCGCAGAGAUAUGGAGGAACACCAGUGGCGAAGGCGACUUUCUGGACUGUAUCUGACGCUGAUGUGCGAAAGCGUGGGGAUCAAACAGG
RNAcentral lists this ribosomal RNA (429 nucleotides) under Actinomycetes bacterium. Its description in RNAcentral is "Actinobacteria bacterium partial 16S ribosomal RNA". It matches the Rfam family "Bacterial small subunit ribosomal RNA", at positions 355 to 776 of the family's 1533-position model. The record is from RNAcentral. Lineage: Bacteria; Bacillati; Actinomycetota; Actinomycetes.